AAAACAAGAGAAGAAUAGAGUUAGAAAGAUCUUCUCUAAAGGGAGUCUCCACAGGGUUUUGCUCCCAAAGUACAAAAGAGAUAGAGAAUAGCCUCUCCAAGCUUAUGUCUAAACAAUGACCUAAAAACUAUAUAAAUAUGUCUUAAAAACGUGUUGGGUCUUCAUUAAACAUAGGAGAAAGUUCUGGGCCGAAUUUGGAAAUCUUCAAAACAUCAAUAAGUUGCGUCUCAAAAUUGGCGUCAGGUAUUGGUGGCGCUCGAUAUCAGGGGUGUUGUCGUUCGACACCUACGUGCAUUUUCGUCUCCGGAUUUCUUCAGCAGCAUAAAUUCUCUGUUUUCUUCCAGAAUGCUUCAUUAUCUCCAAAUGAAUCACAAUCAUGUAAAGACCUGAAAAAGACUAGAAAAGACUCUAGAAAUAACAAAUAGACUUUAAAACCUAUACCUAAAACAUAGUUAAAAAUUGGGAUAUAUCAACUCCCCUAGACUUAGCUUUUGCUUGUCGUCAAGCAAAACACAAAAGCCGAACCCGUGGAAGAGGUUUGAAAACACAGGAACUCCUAACAUUCUCUAGUCUAUUGCCUUGAUCAUUCUAACCAAAUCCAUAUGCCUAGCAGUUCUAAUCAAAUCCUAACCAACAUGUAUUUCUCUGCAAGCUUACACAACAUUCUAGAUUCCAUAC
RNAcentral lists this small RNA (678 nucleotides) under Arabidopsis thaliana (thale cress). RNAcentral describes it as "ATSL206410". The record is from RNAcentral. Lineage: Eukaryota; Viridiplantae; Streptophyta; Magnoliopsida; Brassicales; Brassicaceae.